GACGAACGCUGGCGGCGUGCCUAAUACAUGCAAGUUGAGCGCUGAAGGUUGGUACUUGUACCAACUGGAUGAGCAGCGAACGGGUGAGUAACGCGUGGGGAAUCUGCCUUUGAGCGGGGGACAACAUUUGGAAACGAAUGCUAAUACCGCAUAAAAACUUUAAACACAAGUUUUAAGUUUGAAAGAUGCAAUUGCAUCACUCAAAGAUGAUCCCGCGUUGUAUUAGCUAGUUGGUGAGGUAAAGGCUCACCAAGGCGAUGAUACAUAGCCGACCUGAGAGGGUGAUCGGCCACAGUGGGACGGGGACACGGCCCAAACUCCGACGGGAGGCAGCAGUAGGGAAUCUUCGGCAAUGGACGAAAGUCUGACCGAGCAACGCCGCGUGAGUGAAGAAGGUUUUCGGAUCGUAAAACUCUGUUGGUAGAGAAGAACGUUGGUGGGAGUGGAAAGCUCAUCAAGUGACGGUAACUACCCAGAAAGGGACGGCUAACUACGUG
RNAcentral lists this ribosomal RNA (497 nucleotides) under uncultured bacterium. RNAcentral's name for it is "partial 16S ribosomal RNA". It matches the Rfam family "Bacterial small subunit ribosomal RNA", at positions 28 to 507 of the family's 1533-position model. The record is from RNAcentral.